AUCCCUUUACGUCGCGAUGCCAUGAGUCUAUGCAUGCAAUCAUAUUCAAUGCAAAAAGAUGGUUCAGUGGCGAAAAGCAUCAUGAAAAAAGAAAAAAAAGGGUACUCGAUCGCUUCCAGUGAGAAAUGCUGAAAUUAGGAAGAAAACAAGCAUAUCAAAGUUAUAAGAUUAAGAUAUGUGGCGAAGGAUCCCGAAGCGGCGAAGGACCCGAUGGCAGAGGAGAAUAAAACCAAUCAUAAUGUGAGGAGGAAUCAGCCAAUAGACCUUUCCCAAAUUCGCUUGACUGGUCACUAAACAAAGAUUUCAACUCGUGGUCGAGGUAGAACUUGAUGAAUAAAAGAAUCAAGUACAGUCUCGAGUUCAAACUAUUGUUUCGUGGUCAUCCAAGCGAAUUCGGGAUAGGUCUAUUAUGUCACAACAGAGGUUCAACUACAUAAACGCAAAUUAGCCAACGUCGAGGAAAAAACUAGGCUAAGUUAAGAUUCCAGUGCAUUGUGGGACUGUUUUAGGGGACGAAAUAGACGCCAUCUUGGUAAUAUGUCUUCAAAAACAGCCCCACAAUGCACUGAAAUGCCAACUCGACAAAUGUUGCCUGCGAACUUGGGUUUGCACAAAUAGAAAUACAAGGGCAAGUAUAAAUAAAUAUUACUGUAAACAUCUAAAGCGCAUGGGUAUUGUGCUUCCCUUUGCGUUUUACGCGCGCAUUUUACAUGCGGUUGCAUUUGCAAACUUAACAAAUCACAACAAAGCCUUACUAAACAUUCGAAGGAGUUGUUUAGUUCAAGGUACUUCACCUAAAAAUUGUUUCUUCAUAUCUAAAGGAAACUCAUGGAAUACGUCCCAGAAGUUCAUAAUCACAAGAUGCCUGUCGUAAUAUUCUCCCUUGUAUUCAGCAACCUAAUAAAUAAAUAAAUAAAUAAAAAACUAUCAAUAAUCUA
This is a long non-coding RNA of Actinia tenebrosa (Australian red waratah sea anemone), 938 nucleotides long. NCBI's taxonomy places the organism in Eukaryota, Metazoa, Cnidaria, Anthozoa, Actiniaria, Actiniidae. The record is from RefSeq and is a predicted model, not a curated record.